Molecule: long non-coding RNA, 392 nt
Organism: Nycticebus coucang (slow loris)
Lineage: Eukaryota; Metazoa; Chordata; Mammalia; Primates; Lorisidae
Exons: 3
Source: RefSeq, a predicted model, not a curated record
GGGAAUGGGAGCGAUGGUCCCUACCAGUAAGUAAGAGCUUCCCCUGAGAUGACCAGGCAGGCCCAAGAGCCAAGGCAACCUGCAGACAGGCCUGGAAAGUGAGGUUCAGGCCAGGCAGGACUCUGGCUGGAGGGCUUGGUUCUGCUUGAUUCUCCUGGAGCAGUUGCCUGACUUUCUCCUACACCAGACAAGACCGCACCAUGAAGCAAGAAAGGACAGUACUAAGCCAACGUCUUUAUAGCAGAUAAGUUGAAGGACAGAAACCUGUCUUCUUCUAGGAUAACUUUUCUUUCUGAUUAUAAAUGGAGUAUGUUGAUUGAAGAAAUUUUGGAAAAUACAGAACAGUACACAAAUAACAGUGGCUCUCACGUUUCUUAGGGUUGGGUAGGACU